CGCUCUAAGCUGCAAACACCCUAAGAAGAAAAAUGAAAAUGAGGGGGGAGAGAUUUUAAAAUAUGAUUUUUGGUCUAUAUAACCCCAACAAUGCCCUCCUAAAAUGGGCUUCUCCUAAAUGUUGAACAAAAAUGGGUCCAAAGUCAUAAAGUUUGACCUAAUUACAUUAUAAACGAAUUUAAAAUAAAAUUAAACUAUAAUG
This 202-nucleotide long non-coding RNA is filed under the name Vigna radiata. RNAcentral describes it as "long non-coding RNA (VRAD_LNC006925)". The record is from RNAcentral. Lineage: Eukaryota; Viridiplantae; Streptophyta; Magnoliopsida; Fabales; Fabaceae.